RNA transcript from Strongylocentrotus purpuratus (purple sea urchin), 677 nucleotides. RefSeq lists it as uncharacterized. The record is from RefSeq and is a predicted model, not a curated record. NCBI's taxonomy places the organism in Eukaryota, Metazoa, Echinodermata, Echinoidea, Camarodonta, Strongylocentrotidae. The transcript has 2 exons.
AUUACUUAUUUUAUCUUGUUUUUUCAUAGAUGUUGCAUGCAAGACGUGUGCUGAUGGCUGCAAGUGUGGAGGCGGCUGCUCAUGCACUGAGGGGAACUGUGCAUGCUAGACGAGGAGGGCCCUUUGCUAUAGGGAUGACAGAUUGAGCAUACAGCUGAUGAAGUGAUCAAUCAGUCAGCGCAUCUGCCAAAAUGCUCCAAGCAGACAUGACUUUGUAUAUUUUCGACCCGAUGCCUUAUAUUUUUCUUGUAAGGUAGUUGUAUAUUAAGUUAAUUUGUGAAAUUUGGAAUGUAUUUCUAAUGCGCCAACUCCACAUGACUAAUGUGUUCCGAGACUCACUCGUGAUUAAAUUUAAGUAAGGCUUUGUAUAUUGUCGACCCGAUGCCUUAUAUUUUCUUGUAAGAUAGUUGUAUAUUAAGUUAAUUUAAACUUUAUUUUUCUGAAAUAUGAGACUAAUUGGCAUUAAAAGGACUACUUAAAUAAACUUUAGUAAGGCUGACAGUAAUGCCUGGUAGAAUUUUACUUCAUUUGUUGCUGCCCUGUAUUGUAAAUUUUUCAGUCUUUUUCUAACUUCUAUCAAAUUGUGAAAUUUGGAAUGUAUUUGUAAUGCGCCAACUCCACAUGACUAAUGUGUUCGAGACUCACUCGUGAUUAAAUUUAAGUAAUGCUACAAUGUA